RNAcentral lists this unclassified non-coding RNA (507 nucleotides) under Hevea brasiliensis (rubber tree). The record is from RNAcentral. Lineage: Eukaryota; Viridiplantae; Streptophyta; Magnoliopsida; Malpighiales; Euphorbiaceae.
AAAAAAAAAAAAAAAACAGAAUUUCUGUUGAAACUAAAACUGAUUUCUUGCUUUUCUUUCUUACUUUCUGCAUUACAUGGCUAUUUGUAGAGUCAAAAUAUCACACGGUUUUUACCUGAUUAACUAAGAGAGGAAUGGAGCACCUUACUUAGAAGAUUAGAAAAUCUAGAAAAUGCACCAUGAGAGCAUAUAUGAAAAUUAGUUCUUAUCUAGGGUAAAAGACGCAAAAGGAAAAGUGAAUCAUAUGAGCUAUCCCAAAGGCUAACUUGAACUUGAAGCAAAGUGGAUUAAAAGUUUCAUGGUUUGGUGUACUUGAAAGCUAGCAAGCUUUACAGGAAGGCUAAGGUACCCAAAUUUUGACAUCAUGCAGGUUUUCAAAAAGAAAUAGUUGUCUUGCUUGAUUCUUGAAUAUAGCCUUAAUUAAUAUUUAAGAUGCCAAAACUGCAAGAGAGAGAAAUCGGAGUUCAAAUACCAAUAGCAUACCUCAAGCUGUUCAUGGAGUCGCCU